GGUGGCUCACUGGUAGAGUGCUUGCCUUGCAUGCAUGAGGCCCUGGGUUCGAUUCCCCAGCACCA
RNAcentral lists this transfer RNA (65 nucleotides) under Dipodomys ordii (Ord's kangaroo rat). It matches the Rfam family "tRNA". From Rfam's summary of the family: Transfer RNA (tRNA) molecules are approximately 80 nucleotides in length. Their secondary structure includes four short double-helical elements and three loops (D, anti-codon, and T loops). Further hydrogen bonds mediate the characteristic L-shaped molecular structure. tRNAs have two regions of fundamental functional importance: the anti-codon, which is responsible for specific mRNA codon recognition, and the 3' end, to which the tRNAs corresponding amino acid is attached (by aminoacyl-tRNA synthetases). tRNAs cope with the degeneracy of the genetic code in two manners: having more than one tRNA (with a specific anti-codon) for a particular amino acid; and 'wobble' base-pairing, i.e. permitting non-standard base-pairing at the 3rd anti-codon position. The record is from Rfam by way of RNAcentral. Lineage: Eukaryota; Metazoa; Chordata; Mammalia; Rodentia; Heteromyidae.